AGUCGACUAUCUAAUAUUUUGUAUUAAAACUGGAAUUUCCGCAAGCUAAGAUAUUCGAAUAUCUGAUUUAGAUAUUCGAAUAUCUGAUUUAGAUAAUCGAAUAACCUAAUUUAGUUAUUCGAAUAUCCUGAUGACUGUUUUCUGAGAUAGUCGACUAUCAACUUAGUUAUUCGACUAUCUAAUAUUUUCGCAUUAAAACUGGACUUUUC
RNAcentral lists this long non-coding RNA (209 nucleotides) under Nicotiana benthamiana. RNAcentral describes it as "long non-coding RNA (NBEN_LNC012641)". Lineage: Eukaryota; Viridiplantae; Streptophyta; Magnoliopsida; Solanales; Solanaceae. The record is from RNAcentral.